UCAACUAUUUGUGGCUCCUAGAACCAGUUGCAGCGGGCAAUGUUCAAGGGAAAAUAAAUAACAAUUAUGUUUAUUAAGUUGAAGCGAUUUUUGGGGGCUGUUUGAAUGCUGGCCUAUUCUCGGGAUCGGCCAACAAUAUCUGAUUGGAAGAAGUCCAACACCUAGUGCACCGCUGGUCAUCUGUUUGUUUGAGCCAUGAUGAUUCCAUGCACAGUAAAAAGAGAAGGAUAUAAGUCUCCAAGUCACUUCAGUGGGGGCUGAGCUGCAGUAACCCAGCAUGGCCACUACACAAUGUACAGAGCUGUCUGCUUCUGGCUCUGUUCCCUUAGGAGGCAGGUGCCACGUCUUUGCCACGCAGAAGGGCUAUUAGGUGUCAGGCUCCCAUCAAUCAGAUGAGCCAUCAUUCAAAAAGUCCCAGAAAAGUCUUUCAAGAUUUACAUAGCACCAACAAAUUGUGCAGUGCAAGAAAUAUGUUCAACGUCAUUGAACUCUGUCUCAAGACAUCUGUAUGUUGCACUACUGCGGUGAAAGCUGAAGCUAGAGGCUUUGACUAGUGUUGUGCAUUUGCUUGCACAACCAAUAAAGUGACUUGAAGUGGAGAGAAAAUCCUAUUUGUAUGACACGAUCCACCAGGCAAGAAGUGAUUGACAAAACCAAACAACGCAUUUCGAGGCUUUAGAGCUUCUUCAGCAGGUGAAAAGUGUGCAUGAUACUGAUGCAAAAAGUGCAAACAUAAAUACGUUCAAAACAUGGGGUUAAAAGAUUGGAUCUAGCCUAUUUGUUGGUGGGGCUAAGUUCUGUAAACAAACAUACAAGAUACUGUGGUC
This is a long non-coding RNA of Hyla sarda, 827 nucleotides long. RefSeq lists it as uncharacterized. NCBI's taxonomy places the organism in Eukaryota, Metazoa, Chordata, Amphibia, Anura, Hylidae. The record is from RefSeq and is a predicted model, not a curated record. The transcript is spliced from 4 exons.